Long non-coding RNA from Drosophila virilis, 177 nucleotides. RefSeq lists it as uncharacterized. NCBI's taxonomy places the organism in Eukaryota, Metazoa, Arthropoda, Insecta, Diptera, Drosophilidae. The record is from RefSeq and is a predicted model, not a curated record.
GCUGCAGAUCAUUCGGGUCGGCGGUCAGCCUAUACCAUUGCAGACGUACAUGCAGAUCGCCAUGCUUGGCAUCUUCCAGAGCGGUGGAUUUGUUUAAUGAGUGAAACCGAAGUUGAUGUAGAAAAAUAAAAUCCACGCUCUGACUUUUAUUCCGCAUAAUAAAAUAAUUGAGGAAAA